GAUGAAGAACGUAGCGAAAUGCGAUACUUGGUGUGAAUUGCAGAAUCCCGUGAACCAUCGAGUCUUUGAACGCAAGUUGCGCCCGAAGCCAUUAGGCCGAGGGCACGCCUGCCUGGGCGUCACACGUCGUUGCCCCCCCAUCUACUCCUUCGGGAUUGCGGGGGGCGGAUGAUGGCCUCCCGUGCGCCUCGUCGCGCGGUUGGCAUAAAUGCCAAGUCCUCGGCGACGCACGCCACGACAAUCGGUGGUUGCGAAACCUCGGUUGCCCGUCGUGUGCGGUCGUCGCGCAUCGAGGGCUCGAAAAAAUUGCCGGGCUCCGGCUCGGCUUUCAACGCGACCCCAGGUCAGGCGGGGUUCCCCGCUGAAUUUAAGCAUAUCAAUAAGCGGAGGA
Molecule: unclassified non-coding RNA, 391 nt
Filed under: soil metagenome
Description: partial contains 5.8S ribosomal RNA, internal transcribed spacer 2, and large subunit ribosomal RNA
Rfam family: 5.8S ribosomal RNA (bases 1-122)
Source: RNAcentral